RNAcentral lists this ribosomal RNA (402 nucleotides) under uncultured prokaryote. RNAcentral's name for it is "bacterial SSU rRNA". It matches the Rfam family "Bacterial small subunit ribosomal RNA", at positions 355 to 774 of the family's 1533-position model. The record is from RNAcentral.
UAGGGAAUAUUAGAAAUGGACGAAAGUCUGAUCUAGCAACACCGCGUGUGCGAAGAAGGCCUUCGGGUUGUAAAGCACUUUUUGGAAGGAUUAGGAAGGAAUGUACUUCCAGAAUAAGUCUCGGCUAACUACGUGCCGGCAGCCGCGGUAACACGUAGGAGGCAAACGUUAUCCGGAUUUACUGGGCGUAAAGCGCGUGUAGGUGGUUCUGUAAGUAGGGCGUGAAAGCUCCUGGCUCAACUGGGAGAGGUCGUUCAAAACUAUCAGACUUGAGAGUGGUAGAGGGAGGUGGAAUUCCGCGUGUAGUGGUGAAAUGCGUAGAUAUGCGGAGGAACACCAGUGGCGAAAGCGGCCUCCUGGACCAUUCCUGACACUCAGACGCGAAAGCUAGGGUAGCAAACG